Molecule: ribosomal RNA, 703 nt
Filed under: uncultured Bacilli bacterium
Lineage: Bacteria; Bacillati; Bacillota; Bacilli
Description: bacterial SSU rRNA
Rfam family: Bacterial small subunit ribosomal RNA
Source: RNAcentral
UAAUACAUGCAAGUCGAGCGGACCGACGGGAGCUUGCUCCCUUAGGUCAGCGGCGGACGGGUGAGUAACACGUGGGUAACCUGCCUGUAAGACUGGGAUAACUCCGGGAAACCGGGGCUAAUACCGGAUGCUUGAUUGAACCGCAUGGUUCCAAUCAUAAAAGGUGGCUUUCAGCUACCACUUACUGAUGGACCCGCGGCGCAUUAGCUAGUUGGUGAGGUAACGGCUCACCAAGGCGACGAUGCGUAGCCGACCUGAGAGGGUGAUCGGCCACACUGGGACUGAGACACGGCCCAGACUCCUACGGGAGGCAGCAGUAGGGAAUCUUCCGCAAUGGACGAAAGUCUGACGGAGCAACGCCGCGUGAGUGAUGAAGGUUUUCGGAUCGUAAAACUCUGUUGUUAGGGAAGAACAAGUACCGUUCGAAUAGGGCGGCACCUUGACGGUACCUAACCAGAAAGCCACGGCUAACUACGUGCCAGCAGCCGCGGUAAUACGUAGGUGGCAAGCGUUGUCCGGAAUUAUUGGGCGUAAAGCGCGCGCAGGCGGUUUCUUAAGUCUGAUGUGAAAGCCCCCGGCUCAACCGGGGAGGGUCAUUGGAAACUGGGGAACUUGAGUGCAGAAGAGGAGAGUGGAAUUCCACGUGUAGCGGUGAAAUGCGUAGAGAUGUGGAGGAACACCAGUGGCGAAGGCGGCUCUCUGG